Molecule: ribosomal RNA, 301 nt
Filed under: uncultured bacterium
Lineage: Bacteria
Description: partial 16S ribosomal RNA
Rfam family: Bacterial small subunit ribosomal RNA
Source: RNAcentral
CAGUCGCCGCGGUAAUACGUAGGUGGCAAGCGUUGUCCGGAAUUAUUGGGCGUAAAGCGCGCGCAGGCGGAUCAGUUAGUCUGUCUUAAAAGUUCGGGGCUUAACCCCGUGAUGGGAUGGAAACUGCUGAUCUAGAGUAUCGGAGAGGAAAGUGGAAUUCCUAGUGUAGCGGUGAAAUGCGUAGAUAUUAGGAAGAACACCAGUGGCGAAGGCGACUUUCUGGACGAAAACUGACGCUGAGGCGCGAAAGCCAGGGGAGCGAACGGGAUUAGAUACCCCCGUAGUCCCUGUCCUUAUACAC